This 561-nucleotide ribosomal RNA is filed under the name Mrakia sp. RNAcentral's name for it is "partial large subunit ribosomal RNA". It matches the Rfam family "Eukaryotic large subunit ribosomal RNA", at positions 58 to 627 of the family's 3401-position model. The record is from RNAcentral. Lineage: Eukaryota; Fungi; Basidiomycota; Tremellomycetes; Cystofilobasidiales; Mrakiaceae.
AAAGAAACUAACAAGGAUUCCCCUAGUAACGGCGAGUGAAGCGGGAUGAGCUCAAAUUUAAAAUCUGGCGGCCUCAGGUCGUCCGAGUUGUAGUCUAGAGAAUCGUUUUCCGCGUUGGCCUGUGUACAAGUCCCUUGGAACAGGGCGUCAUAGAGGGUGAGAAUCCCGUCCUUGACACAGAUUACCAAUGCUUUGUGAUGCGAUCUCGAAGAGUCGAGUUGUUUGGGAAUGCAGCUCAAAAUGGGUGGUAAAUUCCAUCUAAAGCUAAAUAUUGGCGAGAGACCGAUAGCGAACAAGUACCGUGAGGGAAAGAUGAAAAGCACUUUGGAAAGAGAGUUAAACAGUACGUGAAAUUGUUAAAAGGGAAACGAUUGAAGUCAGUCAUGCUUUCCGAGACUCAGCCGAUUCUGUCGGUGUACUUCUCGGUUGGCAGGCCAGCAUCAGUUUCGAUCUGUGGAAAAGGUUGGAGGGAACGUGGCAUCUUCGGAUGUGUUAUAGCCCUUCUUCGAAUACAUAGAGCGGGACUGAGGAACGCAGCGCGCCUUUUAUUAGGUUGACCCU